UUCAACCAAAUGGCACAGUUACAUUUUAACACAGCCUCCUGGAUAGGCGCCGAUGUCCACUGCAUCUCUGGUAGGAGAAUCUGGGGUGUCUAAAUGUGGGGAUAGUCCAUCCUCCCCUCCUGCCCCUCCCAGGCCUAAGAUGCGUGGUGCAUGGACAGCUCUCCUGGGAAGCUGUUUCCUCUGUGUAUCACAGAGCAAAGCCAGACCUCAAAACUUCAUUGAAAUUAAGCAAUACAUACUCCCCUAUCUCUACAGAAACCUCAUGAAAAUGGUGCUGAAUAAUUGGUUUUAAACAAGUAUCGUCUUGAAGCAGGUCUAGUAUGUCUAGAGAGAAGGCUGUGAACCUGAAACCAGUGGGCAGUGACUUUUUUUUCAACUAAAGAAAAAGCUGGUGAUAAAUAUUAACAAUAUAAAAAAUGUUCCAGAAACCAGGCCAGCAAAACCUAAGCAGGAAUGUCAUGGACGGCUUCUUAUAAAUGCUUCGUGUUGUUGUUAAUCCCAGUUUUAAUUUCUAGCCUUAUUAAAGACUUAAGGCUUUAUCUCCGUUUCUUUCCCCUGGAAAACCAGAUGCACAUAAUGAUCUUUAUUUCUGUCAUUUUCUCAGUGGUCACAGGGUCUAUGCUGCUUAAUCUUUUUUAUUUCCACGUGGAUUAAUGAGGGCUGUGUGGCUCUGUCUUUGUCCCCUGAUGAGUCCCAGGGACAAGCAUCUGUGGGAUUCAACAUUGCUUCUCAGAGCAAGAUUUUCACCGUGUAGAUAAAUGCCGCAGUGGAGGGGGCUCAUAAACGAGCUCUCGAGGCAGUUUUGUUAGGCUCCAAAAAAGGCUUUCACGAGGUCAAUGCCGGUGGCAUAAGUACCUGCUGGGCUUCCCAGGACAGCAGCUGACAGCACAGGCUUGGCAGACACCCCUGAGAGAGUCUUCGGCACAUAUGAUGUCCUCUAUUGAUGUUUGCUGAAUAGAUGAGGAUGCCAAAAGAGGGAGGAGAUACCAAAAGAGGGAAAGAAGGACACCCAGAAGACAAAUGGUGCUCACCUUGAGCCUCGAGGUCUUUAGGAAAACGGUGACUCUGGAGCACAGCCCUGGAUCCCUGAUGGCAGGUGGAUGAAUCUGCUCCCCACCUGGAUGCUGCUAGUCCUUUCUCCAGGCUCCGUGACUGAAAAUGUGCUUUACUUGGCAAAAGCUGUUUCUCCUCAGAACUCUAGAAAUCAGAUCUUGGCCCACCUCUUUCAGAGAUUCUUCAGGCCUGACCUCCACUUUAAUUUACUUGAAGAGCAUCGAAUAUGAAUCUGCAGAAUUUCAGUGAAACUAUAGAGGAAGAAUGGAGGAGGUGGAGCUGAGGCAGUAAUGCGAGUGAUGGGGAGCAGCUGUAAAUACAGAUGAAGCUUGGCUCGCUUGCCUGCUGCUCAGCUCCUGCUGUGCGGGCUGGUUCCUAACGAGCAAGAAGAAACCUGGAGGACACUUUGGUUUCAUCAAGCAACACUUGCCACCAGGAAGGCGUUGAGUGCCAAUUCCACACCCAAUACCCCCAGGUAGAGGAAGUCUUGGGCCUUGGGGUUUGCAGUCUAGUUUCCUGGUAGUGUCUGUCAUGGGGCUGAAGACCAAGCUUCGUCUUCAUGCUAGACUUUGCCCAUUUGGAUAUUUCAUAUCUUGAGAGGCAAAGAGAGCUUCUGCAAUGUUUGAGGCCAAAAUUCAAAGCAGAGCCAGGCCCAGGAAUCCCAUCAAGCAAGGCCUGUUGCCCAUUCUGCUACGAUUCAGAUAACUUUUGAGAAUAUAAAUGGCUCCCUGGGCCACUGUCUUAAUCUUUCUAUACCUUGGUGAGGCUUCUGUUAAUGGUAGAAUCUAGAUGAAGGAUAGUUUGGGCCACUUCGUAAAUGUGGGUAGUGAUCUUAUUCAGAUUAGAUGAUUUUGUUCAGAUUAGGAUGCCAAAAGUCUGGAACAAGGCAAGACCAGAAAGUCUGGUUAGGCAAGAGGCAAAUGGUUUAAAACAGAGACCUUCACAAUUUGGCAAGCUUUUAAAUUACUUGGAGUAUGCAAAAUACAGUUGCCUGGACCUUACCCGAGACCCACGGGAAAACAACAACAACAACAACAGGGCAGGUUCCAUGGAUCUGUGCCGGGCUAUUCCCCCAGAGAAAUCAGGGAAAAUUAUAGAUGUCCAUAAUUCCAGACAGAAUUAUAGGUCCCUGAGCUUGGUUUGCUGAGAUAACAUGUUGCUUUUCUCUCUCUCUCUCUUUUUCUCUCUCUCAAUGUCUCUCCCUUUUCAAAAGUAGAUGUCACCUUUCUGAUCCAAUGCUUGAUUGCUAGCUGGGCUGAACCAGAAGCAUCACGUCUAGUUAGUCUAGAUGUGGAUGCAAUUCAGUAAUCAUAAACAUUAGAGCUAGAAUAUUGUAGGUAAUUGAUGUAACCAAAUGAAGAACCAGAGACCCAGAGAUGAAAAGUUCCUUGCCCAGAUCUGCAAACUCACAUCCAGGUUGCUCCCUGCCUACCCUCAUCUCUUACAAGCCAGCAUCCUUUUACAGCAGACUGUGGGCCCCAAAGCACAGCUGUGGACAAGAGGGCACUGUACAUUCACCCCAAGGUCUCAAGGCCACCAGGGGCUUGGUCAGCGUUUGUGGUUGUGGCACUUCGCAUUUGCCUCUUUGAGGGCUCCCAAAAACCCACUUCCUGGCCGGGCAUGGUGGCUCACGCCUGUAAUCCCAGCACUUUGGGAGGC
RNAcentral lists this long non-coding RNA (2712 nucleotides) under Homo sapiens (human). RNAcentral's name for it is "HSALNT0403807". Lineage: Eukaryota; Metazoa; Chordata; Mammalia; Primates; Hominidae. The record is from RNAcentral.